This 725-nucleotide long non-coding RNA is filed under the name Felis catus (domestic cat). Its description in RNAcentral is "lncRNA (ENSFCAG00000041693.2)". The record is from RNAcentral. Lineage: Eukaryota; Metazoa; Chordata; Mammalia; Carnivora; Felidae.
UGACAUUUUCUCCAAAUCGGAUAGUGAAGUGUAAGUCGAGCUUCGCCGCAGGCAACCCUGGGUCUCCGCCUUCAGACUCAGGGUCCCUGAGUGGGGUGCGCUGCCCCGGCGCUGCUAACCCAGGGGACCGGGUGGGAUCCCCCCACACACCCCCACCCAGCCGAGCGCCGUGGGCCCGGCCGUUCCACCAAGUGAGGCCGAGGAGCCCACGUGUGAGGCCCACGCCCGUCUCGGGCCGGGGCACUGGUGCGCUCCGAGCACGACGGGUGGCCGGCCUCGCGGCGGGUUCAAGUGCACGCCCGGGGUUGGAGCCAGCGGCUCGGCGAGCGAGUUCUCUCCUGCUCGGCCCCCUCUCCGGAGUUCAGUGUGCCCCGCUGCUCCUGGGACCCCCUCUCCCAGCCCUCCCAGUCGCGAUGAGCCGCCGGCCUGGGGCGCGAACCCGGGCGCGCUCCUCCCCGGGCCCCAGCCCACGGCGCGGGCCCCUCAAGAGCAACGUGGAGGCUCCGCCUGGAAAAGAAGUCCGACUUCCUCUCCGCGCUGCUCUGGUGCGAUCUGGAAUCGGCAGGAAAUGGCUCGAACACCCGUCCCGCGCCUUUGCAGUCAGCCCUCGCUUUGCUGAAGGGAAGCAGCUCCCACCAAAGUCUUACCGCCCCCUCCCCCACGAAAGACCCGCGCAGUUAAAAUUACCAACCAUGAGAAGGAAAAGUGAUUUUUGGAAAACAUGA